This is a long non-coding RNA of Pongo pygmaeus (Bornean orangutan), 2393 nucleotides long. RefSeq lists it as uncharacterized. The record is from RefSeq and is a predicted model, not a curated record. NCBI's taxonomy places the organism in Eukaryota, Metazoa, Chordata, Mammalia, Primates, Hominidae. The transcript is spliced from 2 exons.
CACCCGCCUUGGCUUCCCAAAGUGCUGGGAUUACAGGCAUAAGCCACUGCGCCUGGCCAAGGUACAGGUGUUAAAGAGGCAAUACCAUUAUUCCAUUUAAUGGACCCUCUUUUAAAAGAAUAAUAAUAAUAAUAAAGGACUGUAUUGUUAAAAAAAAAAUACAAGGAAUCCACACAUAUUCAAGGCAUUCCAACCCCCAAAAGGUUUACCAACUACUUGAAAGGGGCCUCUCUUGAAUGUGGGGUCUCUUCCCUCAUACACAUGCUGUUUCUUCCUCAGUCAAGUCAGCCCCUCCUCUUCCAUACUUUUCAUCCACUGCCUCUACUUACACCAUCCUAUUGUAAACCCUCUAACAAAAAGCCAGGAGCUUCCAGUUGCCAAAUCCCAGGAGACUGGUCCUUAUCUCGCUGCAUGUGAUUAUGCUGACUAUAUUCUCCUCAGUGUUCACUACACCACUCUCCUGGUGCUCCCCGCCAACUGGACUGUUCCUUUUUCAUCUCCUUUGAAGGAUCGCCUCCUUCAGAAAUACACUGAAUCUUGUGUUUCCCAAAGUUCCUGCCAUUGUUCUUCUCUUUUCCUGCUAUAUGUGCUUUGCCAAUUUCAUCCACUCUGAAAUUUCAGCCGUCUGCAAUGUCUAUACCCACAACCCAGACCUCUGGCUAAACUCUAGUCCUAUACAUCCAAAUGACUACCGGACAUCCCUUCAGAAUGGACCAUAAAUACACCCAUUAAACGUCGCAUGUCCAAAACUAAACAUCUUCCCUCCAACACCUAAGACUCUUCCUAAAUUGGCUAGUGACACCAUUUUCCAAGCCAGAAAACUGGAAGUCAUCCCUGAUUUCUCUCAGUCCCUCCUGUCUACUCAAUGGACUCCUUAAUAUAAUUUGAAAAUGGUCUCCUAUCUCCUUCUCUACCCACCACUCACCUACUUGAAGCCCUUCAACAUCUUCUGCUGAGUAUUCUGUAACAUCUUCACCGACCUCCCUCCAUCCAGUCUUGGUCUCAAACCUGUCUUUCGUAUGGUCAUGAUGACAUCACACCCUCAUUUAUAAUCCUUUGACGGUUUCUCUUCUCCUAUGUCAUAGGGCUUAUGCUUCUGAGCAUGGCAGAUAAGGCCCUCCAUGUCCUAAUGCCUUGCCUCUCUCACCAGCCUCUUCUCCCACCACUUUACGUCCUGAGCUUUCUGUUUCAACACCACCAAAACACUCAUGAUUCCCUGCUCAUGCCCUGUGUUUUGUACCUUCAUCCUCCAUCCAUGGAGCCCUCAGGUUCUUGCAGGGGAGGGGCAGUAACCCAGAUGGUUGUCACUUCAAUGUUUAGCCCAGCAUCUGGCACCUAAGGGGUGCCGUGUGACCAGUCAGUGAUAAACGAUGGGAGACAGUAUAUGGUAUGUCCAAAAGGAGUGACAGAUAGAAAGUGUGGAGGGAAUUUGGACUCACAUUGAUAGUCAUUGCAAUGGGGCCUAAACAAGCUAAGCACCUUCCACACGAAAAGUACAGACAGCCAGCAAAAGCUCGACUCUUCCAUCUAACAAGCACCACAAACCUAGAGUCAUGCUCUACUUUUUUGGAGAAAACAUGUUGGUUUCCCACUGAGCCUGCCAUCAUGAGGCACAAUAGUGGGCAUCUUGGUGGUUUGCUAAUAAUAACAGCUGAUAUUUAUAGAAGGCUCACUGUGGAUCCAGAACUUUACCGAAAAUUCUACAAGAGCUGUAUCUCUCAGUCCUCACAUCAACACUAUGAGGAAGGAACUACUGUCACCCCUGCUUUACAGGUGGGGAAAUGAGGCCCAGAUAUCAAGUAGCUGUACUAAAAGCACAGAGAUUUAACCUCCUGGACCUUAUUCACCAGAACGCAAGCCAAACCUCCAUAUAUAUUUUACUUACUUCCCAAAAUUUUAUGUGUACAUCAAGAGCUGAUCAUAAAUAGAAGGUCAAAGUGACCUAUUGUGACAUCAAACCUUGGAGCCACUUUAAUGUGACUUCACUAAAUUGCCUUCGUCCGGUGCCUCACAGACAGCAUCCCAGCACAUCAUGGAGACCUAAGUGACAGAACAGGCAGCUCCUCUUCUCCCUGCUCUCCCCUCCAUGGCCCAUCUCAUCCACCUCUGCCAUCUCCAUGUCCAAGUUCAGGGGCAGCAGUGGUAUGUGAUGUUGGCAGCGGUGCCCAAACAUCAGCAAUCAGCCUACUGCUGUCCCAGCACCAAGCCAGGGUCUGUGAAGGGUGAAGGAGAAGGCUCUUUGGGUCAUCUGACCCUGGUCUCCACUCAAAAUGAGACACCAGGGUGUUCCCCACCCACAUACAUUCAGGAUUGCUGUCUCCAAUCUCUAUUUGAGACAUCAGAGAUGUCAUCAUUUCCAUAUGCUUCUCCUAAUAAAGUAACAUCCAUUUAAA